Salmo salar (Atlantic salmon) is the source of this 642-nucleotide non-coding RNA. NCBI's taxonomy places the organism in Eukaryota, Metazoa, Chordata, Actinopteri, Salmoniformes, Salmonidae. The record is from RefSeq and is a predicted model, not a curated record.
CUGGCAGUAUGAGUGGCAUAACAACAGGAAGUUAGUCUACUCUAACAAAAAGCCAGAGUACAGAAUCAGUCCUGUGUACACGUCUAACAGUAGUUCAUAUACCUGUGAGGGUGUGAAGGGAAUCAAGCGCUCUGAAACCAGUGAUGCUGUACAUUUGACAAUUUCUGCUCUGCCCAAAGCCACAGUGAGAAUCUCUCCUCAGGGUCCCCUCUACUCUGGAGAGACAGUCACUCUGCAGUGUGACAUACCAGACUAAACAGACUGGACGUACAACUGGUCCAGAAACAACCAAAAGCUUUCCAGUCCACAUGGUAAAACCAUCACCAUCUCUCUCCCUGACCAGGAUGGUCAGUACCAGUGUCUGGGGACCAGGAGAGAUCGGCCCCAGCAUUCUCAACUCAGUGGAACCGCCCUCAUCAGAUCAACUGCCCUGCCCAAAGCUGAACUGACUGUAGAUCCAAACACUGUGUUCCCUGGAGAGACAGUUACUCUGACGUGUUCAGUAGAGUCUGACAGUAUCUGGAACUAUCAGUGGUACAAAGACAGGAAUGAUAAUGUAGUAUCCCAGUCUGUCAGACACACUAUAACAGGAGACACCCUCACCAUCAGUAGAGCUGCUGAGUCUGACCAGGGUCUCUACUG